GGGCGAGUGCCGGAAUUAGCAGACGGGCAGGUCUCAAAAACCUGUGGGAGUUAAUCCCGUGUGGGUGCAAGUCCCACCUCGCCCACCU
This 88-nucleotide transfer RNA is filed under the name bacterium. RNAcentral describes it as "tRNA-Leu". It matches the Rfam family "tRNA". From Rfam's summary of the family: Transfer RNA (tRNA) molecules are approximately 80 nucleotides in length. Their secondary structure includes four short double-helical elements and three loops (D, anti-codon, and T loops). The record is from RNAcentral. RNAcentral also lists the same sequence under 1 other name.